GACGAACGCUAGCGGCGGGCUUAACACAUGCAAGUCGAACGGAAAGGCCCUGCAUUUGUUGGGUUCUCUGGUGGCGAACCGGUGAGCAACACGUUAAUAACCUGCCCUCCACCUUGGGAUAACUUCAGGAAACUGGGGCUGAUACCCUAUUGGAGCUCCAGCUGCCUGGUGGGCGUUCGAAUGGUUCGGCUGUUGGGGAUGGACUCGCGGCUGAUCCGUCUGAUGGUGGGGUAGGCGCUUACCAAGGCUUCGACGGGUAGGCGGCCUGAGAGUGGGACCGGCCACAUUGGGACAGAGAUACGGCCGAGAGUAGUACGGGAGGCAGCAGUGGGGAAUAUUGCACGAUGGGCGCAAGCCUGAUGCAGCAACGCCGCGUGCGGGAUGACGGCCUUCGGGUUGUAGACCGCUUUCGCCUGUGACGAAGCGUGAGUGACGGUAAUGGAUAAAGAAGCACCGGCUAAUUACGUG
RNAcentral lists this ribosomal RNA (468 nucleotides) under uncultured bacterium. RNAcentral describes it as "partial 16S ribosomal RNA". It matches the Rfam family "Bacterial small subunit ribosomal RNA", at positions 28 to 507 of the family's 1533-position model. The record is from RNAcentral.